Molecule: unclassified non-coding RNA, 254 nt
Filed under: Hevea brasiliensis (rubber tree)
Lineage: Eukaryota; Viridiplantae; Streptophyta; Magnoliopsida; Malpighiales; Euphorbiaceae
Source: RNAcentral
UUUGGCAAACCAUGUUUUGGUACGUGGCGUUGUGUCUAGAAGUUGCUCUACCUUCAAUAAGUGAAGGACUCAAGCGGUUAUUAGUUUCUAGCCGAUAUACCGCUUACUUAGGAAGAAGAUGCAAGAAAACAGAAAGGAAAGGAAUAUCAAAGUUUUCAAAGUUUCUCUUUAGUCACCAUUGAAGUAUGUAUCAUACAGACAUAACAAGGCUCUGAUACCAAGAUAAGUCGGGAGCCCUUAUCAUACAUAUAAUG